This 632-nucleotide ribosomal RNA is filed under the name uncultured bacterium. RNAcentral describes it as "bacterial SSU rRNA". The stretch from base 1 to 542 matches the Rfam family "Bacterial small subunit ribosomal RNA", at positions 338 to 873 of the family's 1533-position model. The record is from RNAcentral.
CCUACGGGAGGCAGCAGUGGGGAAUUUUGGACAAUGGGCGCAAGCCUGAUCCAGCAAUGCCGCGUGAGUGAAGAAGGCCUUCGGGUUGUAAAGCUCUUUUGUCAGGGAAGAAACGGUGGAGGUUAAUACCUUCUGCUAAUGACGGUACCUGAAGAAUAAGCACCGGCUAACUACGUGCCAGCAGCCGCGGUAAUACGUAGGGUGCAAGCGUUAAUCGGAAUUACUGGGCGUAAAGCGUGCGCAGGCGGUUGUGCAAGACAGAUGUGAAAUCCCCGGGCUCAACCUGGGAAUUGCAUUUGUGACUGUACGGCUAGAGUGUGUCAGAGGGGGGUUAGAAUUCCACGUGUAGCAGUGAAAUGCGUAGAGAUGUGGAGGAAUACCGGAUGGCGAAGGCAGCCCCCUGGGAUAACACUGACGCUCAUGCACGAAAGCGUGGGGAGCAAACAGGAUUAGAUACCCUGGUAGUCCACGCCCUAAACGAUGUCUACUAGUUGUCGGGUCUUUAUUGACUUGGUAACGCAGCUACGCGUGAGUAGACCGCCGUCGGGUAGGUACGGUCGCGAGAGUAAACGUACGAAGUAGAGUUAGACGGCGUGAGACGUAGACCGACGGACGACGACGAGGGGAGGAGG